Molecule: unclassified non-coding RNA, 459 nt
Filed under: fungal sp.
Lineage: Eukaryota; Fungi
Description: partial internal transcribed spacer region
Rfam family: Eukaryotic small subunit ribosomal RNA (bases 1-46)
Source: RNAcentral
AAGUCGUAACAAGGUUUCCGUAGGUGAACCUGCGGAAGGAUCAUUAACACGUGUUAAAAUUAAUAACUUUAACACAUGUAUUUUAUCAAAUCCACCGAGAAAUUGUUAAUAUCUAUCCUAUUGUUGGAUGCAGGUAGACGAAAUGAGGGAAUGCUAUGGGCCGCCCUUCGAAAGAUUGUACGCCCUAACUCUAUUCGUCGUUCAUAGGUCCGCCCUGGAACUUGCACUGGCAAAUAGUUGACGAGUAACGACUGUGACUGCAUGUAGCAUUGCGUUGCAGAUCGUUAUGACCUUAUUAACCCAUUUUUUUACUAUUACUUACUGAUUUUGUACGUUUCUAUGAAUUCCUUACAUUAGUAACAUAAUGUCGGUUGAGUUUAUAUAAAUGUCGUAUAUUAUUAAUACGAAACAACUCUUAGCAACGGAUAUCUUGGUUCUCGUAACGAUGAAGAACGGAGC